AACACAUGCAAGUCGAGGGGUAACGGAAGUAGCUUGCUACUAGACGACGACCGGCGCACGGGUGAGUAACGCGUAUGUAAUCUGCCUUGUACAGAGGGAUAGCCCAGAGAAAUUUGGAUUAAUACCUCAUAGUAUUACUGGAUCGCAUGAUUUGGUAAUUAAAGCUCCGGCGGUACAAGAUGAACAUGCGUGACAUUAGCUAGUUGGUAAGGUAACGGCUUACCAAGGCUACGAUGUCUAGGGGUUCUGAGAGGAUGAUCCCCCACACUGGUACUGAGACACGGACCAGACUCCUACGGGAGGCAGCAGUGAGGAAUAUUGGUCAAUGGACGCAAGUCUGAACCAGCCAUCCCGCGUGAAGGAUGACUGCCCUAUGGGUUGUAAACUUCUUUUAUAUGCAAAUAAACCUGCUUUCGUGAAAGUAGCUGAAGGUAGCAUAUGAAUAAACACCGGCUAACUCCGUGCCAGCAGCCGCGGUAAUACGGAGGGUGUAAGCGUUAUCCGGAUUUAUUGGGUUUAAAGGGUACGUAGGCGGUAAUAUAAGUCAGUGGUGAAAUCCUGCAGCUCAACUGUAGAACUGCCAUUGAAACUGU
RNAcentral lists this ribosomal RNA (593 nucleotides) under uncultured bacterium. RNAcentral describes it as "bacterial SSU rRNA". It matches the Rfam family "Bacterial small subunit ribosomal RNA", at positions 50 to 636 of the family's 1533-position model. The record is from RNAcentral.